AUUGAACGCUGGCGGCAGGCCUAACACAUGCAAGUCGAGCGGAUGAAGGGAGCUUGCUCCUGGAUUCAGCGGCGGACGGGUGAGUAAGUCCUACGAAUCUGCCUGGUAGUUGGGGAUAACGUCCGUACACGGGCGCUAAUACCGCAUACGUCCUGAGGGAGAAAGUGGGGGAUCUUCGGACCUCACGCUAUCAGCUGAGCCUAGGUCGUAUUAGCUAGUUGGUGGGGUAAAGGCCUACCAAGGCGACGAUCCGUAACUGGUCUGAGAGGAUGAUCAGUCACACUGGAACUGAGACACGGUCCAGACUCCUACGGGAGGCAGCAGUGGGGAAUAUUGGACAAUGGGCGAAAGCCUGAUCCAGCCAUGCCGCGUGUGUGAAGAAGGUCUUCGGAUUGUAAAGCACUUUAAGUUGGGAGGAAGGGCAGUAAGUUAAUACCUUGCUGUUUUGACGUUACCAACAGAAUAAGCACCGGCUAACUUCGUG
This 484-nucleotide ribosomal RNA is filed under the name uncultured bacterium. RNAcentral describes it as "partial 16S ribosomal RNA". It matches the Rfam family "Bacterial small subunit ribosomal RNA", at positions 30 to 507 of the family's 1533-position model. The record is from RNAcentral.